Tarenaya hassleriana is the source of this 1538-nucleotide RNA transcript. RefSeq lists it as uncharacterized. The record is from RefSeq and is a predicted model, not a curated record. Lineage: Eukaryota; Viridiplantae; Streptophyta; Magnoliopsida; Brassicales; Cleomaceae. The transcript has 4 exons.
UCUCCCUCCCUUUGGGAUCAAAUAAUAUGAACAGGAAUUCGAAUGUCUCGUACUCUUCUUUUCAUGAAGUUGAGAGCUAGAUUCUCCACUGCCAUCGUCUCUUCUCGUAAAAGUCUGGGUUUUUUCCUUUCAGAAAAAUAGUACAACUCUUGGCGUUCCUAAUCUUCUUGAUCACAAAAAGAACUCCAGUCGUGUAAACACCUGUAAUGUCAUUGAUCAAAACCAUUCGUAGACGAUGAGAAGAAAGGAAGAGCUAAAGAGUGGAAGGAGGAACAGACCAGAGGAGGGUACGCUGUUGCCUGGAACAACUUGUAAGUUGCUUCAGGUUCUUUGAGGAAAGGCCAUAUUGCCUCUUUCUUAAGGGCAUGGAUGGAUGUGAGACCCAUGAUGGAAGUUGUUAAAGGGGCAGCUUUUGGUAUUCUCCAAGUAAGAGUAUAUCCACAUUUUUGUUAGUUUGGGAGCUUCCUCUUCAUUUCUAUUUGGGAGUAACUAGAUAUUAGAGAUGUUUUCUAUUUGACAUUGGCAAUCAGUUAUCAAAUGAACGGACUCUCACGAAGAAUAAGAACUAGUUUUCUCAGGAAUUAUUUUGCAGGUGCUUUUUUCCAGCAAUCUCCUUCUUGCUUAUUGCUGAGAAUUAUACCAAAACCUAUGAGAUUCUAAGGCAAAUGUAUGGUCAAGAGAAUGUUAACUUCGUAUGUUUUAUGUAUGUUUGUCGGGCAGAUAUAUACGAUACGAGUUAUCCGAUCAGAUAGGGUUUCUCCUUUGUGCAUUUCCAUUGGCUUCCAUUGAUUACCUCAAGGUUUGAGACGUUUACUCUUAUAUUCUUAUUUAUAGAAAAUCUUUUUGUAAGUGACUGAUAGGGAGAUACCUAAGCAUCACUUUUUCUGAAUUUGAUUUUACUUCACAAAAAAGAGCUCUUUCAAAGCAUGCAACUUGAAAUCUCUGGAGGGCAUUAUUUGCAUGCCUAUGCUGAUGGUGAUUGUAGGAAUCAAUGUUGUAGGACACUAUCCAUGUGUGGGAUCCUUUAAUAAUAUACAGAUAUAGAAAGGGGUUGUGGGACCAGGGCUUGUUGAGACUUUGGUUUUACUAUGGAGGUGGCAUGCUUCUCUUUCUCACCAAAGCCAAAAGGAAGUUUUGCUUGUGAAAUGAAAACAGACUUGCUGAAACUGAAUCUUCCCAAGCUUUCAAUCAAAUAUUGGAUAUGUUUCUGCAAUUACAGUUCAAAUUUCAUUUCAAACUUCAUAUACGUGUUUUCACAUCAUUUGCAAUACAUCAUCAAGAAAGUCCUAUAGAUAUCUUCUUUACUUUGAGACAUGUAAGUUCACUGUUAAGCGUUACCGAAGACAUGUUUUAGCUUCAGAAGUAAUUGUUCUGUUGUGUAAGGGUAGGUGGCAACACUUAACAAGGAAGAAAAUGGCAGCUCCUCCAAAGCUUCUUUCCAAAGUCACUUCAGCAAGCAUCAUGGAUGUUUUUUGGCUCAGUCUGUGCAUGUUAACCAAGAAGUUGUAGGACACAAGUUGCAGAGAAAAAAAACAUGA